Molecule: ribosomal RNA, 498 nt
Filed under: uncultured bacterium
Lineage: Bacteria
Description: partial 16S ribosomal RNA
Rfam family: Bacterial small subunit ribosomal RNA
Source: RNAcentral
AUUGAACGCUGGCGGCAUGCCUUACACAUGCAAGUCGAACGGUAACAGGUCUUCGGAUGCUGACGAGUGGCGAACGGGUGAGUAAUACAUCGGAACGUGCCUAGUAGCGGGGGAUAACUACUCGAAAGAGUGGCUAAUACCGCAUGAGAUCUACGGAUGAAAGCAGGGGAUCGCAAGACCUUGUGCUACUAGAGCGGCCGAUGGCAGAUUAGGUAGUUGGUGGGAUAAAAGCUUACCAAGCCGACGAUCUGUAGCUGGUCUGAGAGGACGAUCAGCCACACUGGGACUGAGACACGGCCCAGACUCCUACGGGAGGCAGCAGUGGGGAAUUUUGGACAAUGGGCGAAAGCCUGAUCCAGCAAUGCCGCGUGCAGGAUGAAGGCCUUCGGGUUGUAAACUGCUUUUGCACGGAACGAAAAGCCCCGGGUUAAUACCCUGGGGUCAUGACGGUACCGUAAGAAUAAGCACCGGCUAACUACGUGCCAGCCGCCGCGGUAA